CGUGGGGAACCGUGCCCCAUAGUCUGGGAUACCACUUGGAAACAGGUGCUAAUACCGGAUAAGAAAGCGGAUCGCAUGAUCAGCUUUUAAAAGGCGGCGUAAGCUGUCGCUAUGGGAUGGCCCCGCGGUGCAUUAGCUAGUUGGUAAGGUAAAGGCUUACCAAGGCGAUGAUGCAUAGCCGAGUUGAGAGACUGAUCGGCCACAUUGGGACUGAGACACGGCCCAAACUCCUACGGGAGGCAGCAGGA
This 248-nucleotide ribosomal RNA is filed under the name uncultured Lactobacillus sp. Its description in RNAcentral is "partial 16S ribosomal RNA". It matches the Rfam family "Bacterial small subunit ribosomal RNA", at positions 116 to 354 of the family's 1533-position model. The record is from RNAcentral. Lineage: Bacteria; Bacillati; Bacillota; Bacilli; Lactobacillales; Lactobacillaceae.